UACGGAGGAUCCAAGCGUUAUCCGGAUUUAUUGGGUUUAAAGGGUGCGUAGGCGGAUUAUUAAGUCAGUGUUGAAAGACUAAAGCUCAACUUUAGAAGUGGCAUUGAUACUGGUAGUCUUGAGUACAGAUGAAGUGGGCGGAAUGUGUCAUGUAGCGGUGAAAUGCAUAGAUAUGACACAGAACACCGAUUGCGAAGGCAGCUCACUAAGUUGUAACUGACGCUGAGGCACGAAAGCGUGGGGAUCAAACAGG
This 253-nucleotide ribosomal RNA is filed under the name uncultured bacterium. Its description in RNAcentral is "partial 16S ribosomal RNA". It matches the Rfam family "Bacterial small subunit ribosomal RNA", at positions 524 to 776 of the family's 1533-position model. The record is from RNAcentral.